CGUGGAUCCGUAAUCCGGGUUGCGGACAGUGUCUGGUGGGUAGUUUGACUGGGGCGGUCUCCUCCUAAAGAGUAACGGAGGAGCACGAAGGUUGGCUAAUCCUGGUCGGACAUCAGGAGGUUAGUGCAAUGGCAUAAGCCAGCUUGACUGCGAGCGUGACGGCGCGAGCAGGUGCGAAAGCAGGUCAUAGUGAUCCGGUGGUUCUGAAUGGAAGGGCCAUCGCUCAACGGAUAAAAGGUACUCCGGGGAUAACAGGCUGAUACCGCCCAAGAGUUCAUAUCGACGGCGGUGUUUGGCACCUCGAUGUCGGCUCAUCACAUCCUGGGGCUGAAGUAGGUCCCAAGGGUAUGGCUGUUCGCCAUUUAAAGUGGUACGCGAGCUGGGUUUAGAACGUCGUGAGACAGUUCGGUCCCUAUCUGCCGUGGGCGCUGGAGAACUGAGGGGGGCUGCUCCUAGUACGAGAGGACCGGAGUGGACGCAUCACUGGUGUUCGGGUUGUCAUGCCAAUGGCACUGCCCGGUAGCUAAAUGCGGAAGAGAUAAGUGCUGAAAGCAUCUAAGCACGAAACUUGCCCCGAGAUGAGUUCUCCCUGAGACUUAGAGUCUCCUGAAGGAACGUUGAAGACGACGACGUUGAUAGGCCGGGUGUGUAAGCGCAGCGAUGCGUUGAGCUAACCGGUACUAAUGAACCGUGAGGCUUAACCUU
Molecule: ribosomal RNA, 705 nt
Filed under: Salmonella enterica subsp. enterica serovar Infantis
Lineage: Bacteria; Pseudomonadati; Pseudomonadota; Gammaproteobacteria; Enterobacterales; Enterobacteriaceae
Description: partial 23S ribosomal RNA
Rfam family: Bacterial large subunit ribosomal RNA
Source: RNAcentral